CAGCCGCCGCGGUAAUACGGAGGGUGCAAGCGUUAAUCGGAAUUACUGGGCGUAAAGCGUGCGUAGGCGGUUCGUUAAGUCUGUUGUGAAAGCCCCGGGCUCAACCUGGGAAUGGCAAUGGAUACUGGCGAGCUUGAGUGUGUCAGAGGAUGGUGGAAUUCCCGGUGUAGCGGUGGAAUGCGUAGAGAUCGGGAGGAACAUCAGUGGCGAAGGCGGCUACCUGGACUGACACUGACACUGAGGCGCGAAAGCGUGGGGAGCAAACAGGAUUAGAUACCCCUGUAGUCCCUGUCUCUUAUAC
RNAcentral lists this ribosomal RNA (301 nucleotides) under uncultured bacterium. Its description in RNAcentral is "partial 16S ribosomal RNA". It matches the Rfam family "Bacterial small subunit ribosomal RNA", at positions 509 to 807 of the family's 1533-position model. The record is from RNAcentral.